UAUGGAUCCAAACUCCAUCACUGUGAUAAAUGCCCCUGCUACAACAACUGUUCCUGCUACAAUUGCCAUAACAACGGCACCUCCUCCAGUGGUGGAAUUACAAGUCACCUUGCAGCAAGUUUUUGUACCAGCCUUGACUGACCCUCAAAGCACAGAAUUCAAAACACUAURAGWAACCAUUACUACAAUUUGUUACACAAUCUUCCGACAAAGAUAUGGGCUUAGUUUCGUUCAGACGACAGUUACUCAAUUCAGACCUGUGCCCCGUCUCGGUCAGGAWCCUUACACAGAGGUGGAMRUGGAACUGGAGUUCAAUGCGACCUCCACUGUACCUAUCCCCAAGGGCAGUGACAUUGUUGAUACAUUGAAAGAGGCUUUGACCAAUCCAAACUCUACCUUCAACUUCUCUGUGGAUCUGAACUCCAUCACUGUGAUAAGGACCCCAAGCACAGCCACAGAUGUCUCGACAAAUACAACAGCUACACCUGUUGCAAGAUCAACAACAAGAGGA
Salvelinus sp. IW2-2015 is the source of this 511-nucleotide non-coding RNA. The record is from RefSeq and is a predicted model, not a curated record. NCBI's taxonomy places the organism in Eukaryota, Metazoa, Chordata, Actinopteri, Salmoniformes, Salmonidae.